CCUGGGUCUACAUUCCAGGAACCUGGGACCCUGAAAUGUCUGCAUGGCUCAGCAAGUCAAGAACUUUAUGUGAAAAUAGCACCCAGGCUGAUGAAAACACUCCAUGGUGGUCACCCCCAGAACUUCUCCAGAUCCUGUUGCCAGAGGCCCAAAAUGGUUUCCACGGCGGCCCUGUCGGAAGGCCACAGAUGGACACCAUGAUAUCUGUGAGAGCCUCACACUUCCUGAGCAGUCUAAUUUAUACUCAAGCAAUCAAGCUUCCGGUUUUUUCACAUUGUGCUUGAGCAGCCAAAACGCAUCAGAGAACAAGUACUCUGUCGAUGUCAAAACCAGAACCAUGCGCAUUUGGCCAUAAUAUUUUAAUAACAAAUGAAACGUGAAUCCACUUGCCACACGGAGGACGGGCUGGAGGAGUUAACUCCAUCUGAAGAAUAAGCUGGCUUACUGUCAAACAGGAUGAAAUUGUGUUCCUAGGAAUGCAUGUCGUAUUAAACGUAAAAGAUGCAGAAAGAAAUAAUGAUGUGGAAAAUGUAUACAGUACAAAUAGAGUUUUAAAAUAUUAAUAGAACGCGGGCAGCCACGGAUGGUAAAUCCUCCAGCUCGACUGUUCUGAGAAGCUUGAUAUUUAGCGACACCUAGUGGUGCCCGAUAUGAAAGCCUUUAUGGGUGUUCUUUUGAGGUAAAACAAUGAAUUUACCAAACUUGCCUACUGGCUGGCACAUAGUUUGGGGUUGGUGUUGUUUUAAGUGAACUCUCAUUCACUUGCCCAUUCCCCGUGGACCAGGACCUGAAGAAUCACCUGCGAUGGCAGAAUAUGGUAACAAGAGUCACGGAGAACAGACUGCGUUCAGGCCUGUUGUAUUUUUCAUUUUUACUUAAAUUGGUGCUAACAUAAGCCUGCUUUCCUAAAACACAGUAGAUAGCUGCAGCAGCAAAAACACAGCAUUUGCAGGCCAACAAUCUAAGACACGUAGCCUGGUACAGGCCGGAUGUUAAAGAGACAGUGGCACCAAAGAAUAACCUCAUUCAAAGAAUGAACAGCAUAUUCCAUUUUACAAUAAUGACUUUUAAAAGAUGCUUUGAUCCCAAACUAGUAGCCUUUCCCCCUUUUAUCCAAGGACUUACUGUGCUUUUAUAUCAUCCAAACCUGGCUGGCAUAAACUCUGUCUUAGAGGUCCUCCUGGACAAUGAAGCAGCACGACAAUGUGCCUUUGAAAACUCCAAGUGUCCACAUGGCCACACACUUCAGUUUCUCAGUCACUCUUUCUGAGGAGGCUUUUAUUAUUGAAGAAUCAGUAAAGAUCUCUGAGUAAACUGAUAGUGAAAGGAACAAGGGUCAUGGAGUGGACAGAGAA
Molecule: long non-coding RNA, 1355 nt
Organism: Bos indicus x Bos taurus (hybrid cattle)
Lineage: Eukaryota; Metazoa; Chordata; Mammalia; Artiodactyla; Bovidae
Source: Ensembl